GCUCACGGCGGCUGCACAUGCACUAAAAUUGGAGUGACACAGAGAAGGUCAGCAUGACCCCUGCGCAAGGAUGCCACUCAAGUUCAUGAAGUGCUCCACAUUAAG
This is a small nuclear RNA of Molossus molossus (Pallas's mastiff bat), 105 nucleotides long. NCBI's taxonomy places the organism in Eukaryota, Metazoa, Chordata, Mammalia, Chiroptera, Molossidae. The record is from RefSeq and is a predicted model, not a curated record.